GAGCAAGGCGGCAACUCGAGGUGUGAACAUUGAAGCGAUGCCUACGCAAGUACUGUCUUUCAUACAACACAUAGCAGUGUUCGAUGCUAAAUACAGUCAACGUAAUAAAUUGAUUUGAAGGAUUAUGGUCGAAAUAGUUUCAUCGGUCCUUUUCGCGCCAAUGGUGGCAACGAGUGACGCUUUCAAAACUGCAGGCACAUCGGUCUGCAUCUUUUGUCCGUCGGGCAAUACGACAAUCGAAAAGAUAAGAAGAGAGCGAGAGAGAAGUUCAAUGAGAAGCUGGACUCAGCGCGUCUGCACGCGCCACUCUACUUUUCGACGGUUAGCUUCAAUUUUAGAAUAAAGUUAGCCACAGGAUGAGCCGAGUCGCGGAGUUCUUAAGAAAGUCCAGAGAGUUUUCCGGCGGCAAGUGCAUAUUCUAUCUGUUCAAAGCGUCUGGGAUCGCUGCAAUAAGCCUGAACACCGAAACUCCAUUGGACGCGAACGGGGAGACGUAUCGAUUCUCGCAUUCGGCCAAAGAUGUCGCGCCCAGCUUAUUCCUCAUAAUUUUCAUGGUUACAACGACCUGCGUGACUGCUUACGGAUACUUUGCCAAGUCAACGCAGAACAACGACUCCGUUUAUUAUACGUCUGAUGUCGUUGGAUUUUCCAGCGCGAUAUGCAUC
This is a long non-coding RNA of Phymastichus coffea, 665 nucleotides long. RefSeq lists it as uncharacterized. The transcript is spliced from 3 exons. The record is from RefSeq and is a predicted model, not a curated record. Lineage: Eukaryota; Metazoa; Arthropoda; Insecta; Hymenoptera; Eulophidae.